AGUCGAGCGGUACAGGCCUUCGGGUGCUGACGAGCGGCGGACGGGUGAGUAAUGCUUGGGAACUUGCCUUUCGGAGGGGGAUAACCAUUGGAAACGAUGGCUAAUACCGCAUAACGUCUACGGACCAAAGUGGGGGAUCUUCGGACCUCACACCGAGAGAUAGGCCCAAGUGAGAUUAGCUAGUUGGUGGGGUAAAGGCUCACCAAGGCGACGAUCUCUAGCUGUUCUGAGAGGAUGAUCAGCCACACUGGGACUGAGACACGGCCCAGACUCCUACGGGAGGCAGCAGUGGGGAAUAUUGCACAAUGGGGGAAACCCUGAUGCAGCCAUGCCGCGUGUGUGAAGAAGGCCUUCGGGUUGUAAAGCACUUUCAGUGGUGAGGAAGGCUAUCGUGUUAAUAGCACGGUAGAUUGACGUUAGCCACAGAAGAAGCACCGGCUAACUCCGUGCCAGCAGCCGCGGUAAUACGGAGGGUGCGAGCGUUAAUCGGAAUUACUGGGCGUAAAGCGUACGUAGGCGGCUCAUUAAGCAAGAUGUGAAAGCCCCGGGCUCAACCUGGGAAUGGCAUUUUGAACUGGUGAGCUCGAGUUUUGAAGAGGGUGGUAGAAUUUCCAGUGUAGCGGUGAAAUGCGUAGAUAUUGGAAGGAAUACCAGUGGCGAAGGCGGCCACCUGGUCAAGAACUGACGCUGAAGUACGAAAGCGUGGGGAGCAAACAGGAUUAGAUACCCUGGUAGUCCACGCCGUAAACGAUGUCAACUAGUUGUUCCGUUCCUAAACGAAGUGGAGUACGCCGCUAACGCACUAAGUUGACCGCCCGGGGA
Molecule: ribosomal RNA, 822 nt
Filed under: uncultured Gammaproteobacteria bacterium
Lineage: Bacteria; Pseudomonadati; Pseudomonadota; Gammaproteobacteria
Description: bacterial SSU rRNA
Rfam family: Bacterial small subunit ribosomal RNA
Source: RNAcentral